RNAcentral lists this long non-coding RNA (1958 nucleotides) under Fragaria vesca (wild strawberry). RNAcentral's name for it is "long non-coding RNA (FVES_LNC004070)". Lineage: Eukaryota; Viridiplantae; Streptophyta; Magnoliopsida; Rosales; Rosaceae. The record is from RNAcentral.
ACAAUACCAAUAUGGUAAGGAUAUGAAUACAUAGAUCUAGUCUAACUACAUAUCCUAUUGGCAUAAGGCCAAGGCACACAUAGAGAAUAUCCUAGAACAUCCCCCCUUGUGCUGCGCGCUGAUAUGCCGAUGGUGCUGAUCUGUUGCCUCGUCAAAAACCUCGUCAAGUCACAAAAACCCUGUGGGAGAAAAACUGAACCUUGAUCGUAGGAGAAAAAGAGUACAACGCACCCUUCACAUUUGAUAGUGACAUGCAAUGUUCUAAAAGGCGCUAGGCGCUAGGCGCUAGGCGGGCGGUAACCCACAGCCUAGAGCCUGGACAGCCUAGGCGAGGAUUAGGCGGGGACUAGGCGAUUUGUAUUUUUUAAGAUUUAUUAAUUAAAAAUAUAUAUUUUAUACAAUUUAAUAUUUGAAAACAGUCAAAUAUAGAUAAAUUAUUCAACAUAAUCUAGUCAUACUCAUUUAUAAAAUAAAUUAUAACUAAAAUUUAGCAUAACUUCCUGUAAAAGUGAGCAACAACAGCAAUAAACAUAUACGCUUCUAAUUUUAAACACACAAUUAACUCUUAUACUCUCAUACUCCCCACAAUAUAACAAUCCCACACAAAAAGAAAACAAAAAUAGCUGUAGAGCUUAGCAGCCUAGGCGGGCAAGGGGGCAUCUAGGCGGGCUAGGCGGCAUUUAGGCGAGCUAGGCGGCCGCCUAAUCGCCCACAGCCUGGCACAAAGGCCUGGAAGAAAAGCGAGGCGGCUUGUUACAGCCUAGAGCCUAGGCAGGGACUAGGCGGUCCUAGGCGGGGCCUUUUAGAAGCUUGGUGACAUGUAUGUAUGUGCUAGACUCCCCCUGAAGUUCGCACCUCCCCCUGAUCUUUACAUCAAUCAUAGAGCUCUUCCUGAUUCUUACUAAUCACGGAAGUUUCAACAACUUAGCAUAUCAAUGCUUUUUAACAUGUCUUCAAAUGUGGUAUUGGGCAAUGAUUAACUAAAUCAUGCCGUAUUGUCCUCAAAUGAUCUUUUACACUUAGAUCUUGAGGAGAAGGUUGCUUGUGAACUCAAAACAUAAGUUCGUGCAGGAAAUCAGAUUUCCGCGCAGCAUGACCUUCAAUUACUAGAACAGUCGUAACUUUCUCUAGGAAAUACAUAUGAACGAACCGUAAACGGUUUUGGAAACUAGACUCAUUUAGCUUUCCAACCGUAUAUUACACACGUUCUGGUUCCUCAGGAGCUAUUCACAACAUUCCGUCGAAGUUGACUGUUUUGCCAAAAUCAGUUCUCGGACAGAUUCGUCCUACUUUACGAAAACGGCCAUAACUCACUCAAUAUGAUAGGUAUGAUCAAAUGGUUGGUGUCCCUGGAAAGUAGACACAUAGACCUUUCCAAUGGUACCAAUUUCACCAUUUUACAGUGAGUGAGAUUUCCUAUAGGUCUCGUGGAAGUUGACCUACAAAACUUGGCAGAUUCUGAUUUCGCUUUUGAUGUGUCUUUCUUAUGUAGGGAUAGAAUAAGCCUCAACCCUUCAUACCAUUAAGUAUUGAAAAAGGAGUUACUGCCAUUACAUUGGCGUUGCGUGGGCGCAUAGCUACACUUAGCUUUACAACUUUUCAUAGCGAAUGAGAUGUCAAGUCUUUUGUAUUGUGUUGAGUACAUUGAUGCGUCUUUUUGUACUUAGAUGGGAACUCCAUCUCUUAACACAUAUUUGUCAUCUUGCUUUAGACAAAACAACGGAUCUCUCUAUAGAGCAAAGACCUUGACUAAUCAUGGGAGUAUAUGUAGGCCUCACUAGUUAUAGAGCGCCUAAGCCGAUUGAUCAUCAAUACAGUCAUCGAGUGCCUUAUCGAGACUGUGUCUUCCCAAGAUCUUUUUCUUCGGAUGUUGAUACAUAUUGGCAUCUCUUGAUCCAUCAAGAGUCCAUGUAAAUCCGGAAUGAACACGCAAAGGCAUAAUUCACCAUAUCCCUUCC